Molecule: small nuclear RNA, 91 nt
Filed under: Zalophus californianus (California sea lion)
Lineage: Eukaryota; Metazoa; Chordata; Mammalia; Carnivora; Otariidae
Also listed under: 1 other name
Description: U2 spliceosomal RNA (ENSZCAG00015001276.1)
Rfam family: U2 spliceosomal RNA
About the family: U2 is a small nuclear RNA (snRNA) component of the spliceosome (involved in pre-mRNA splicing). Complementary binding between U2 snRNA (in an area lying towards the 5' end but 3' to hairpin I) and the branchpoint sequence (BPS) of the intron results the bulging out of an unpaired adenosine, on the BPS, which initiates a nucleophilic attack at the intronic 5' splice site, thus starting the first of two transesterification reactions that mediate splicing.
Source: RNAcentral
AUCGCUUCUCGGCCUUUUGGCUAAGAUCAAGUGUAAAGAAUGAAGUAUCUUAUUUUUGUUAUUAGAUUUAUUUCUGCCUUUAUCACCCUCU